This 482-nucleotide ribosomal RNA is filed under the name uncultured bacterium. RNAcentral's name for it is "partial 16S ribosomal RNA". It matches the Rfam family "Bacterial small subunit ribosomal RNA", at positions 30 to 507 of the family's 1533-position model. The record is from RNAcentral.
AUUGAACGCUGGCGGCAUGCUUUACACAUGCAAGUCGUACGGUAACAGGCCGCAAGGUGCUGACGAGUGGCGAACGGGUGAGUAAUGCAUCGGAACGUGCCCGGUCGUGGGGGAUAACUACUCGAAAGAGUAGCUAAUACCGCAUACGAUCUAUGGAUGAAAGCGGGGGACCGUAAGGCCUCGCGCGAUUGGAGCGGCCGAUGUCAGAUUAGGUAGUUGGUGGGGUAAAGGCUCACCAAGCCAACGAUCUGUAGCUGGUCUGAGAGGACGACCAGCCACACUGGGACUGAGACACGGCCCAGACUCCUACGGGAGGCAGCAGUGGGGAAUUUUGGACAAUGGGCGCAAGCCUGAUCCAGCAAUGCCGCGUGCAGGAAGAAGGCCUUCGGGUUGUAAACUGCUUUUGUACGGAACGAAACGGCUCUGGUUAAUACCCGGGGCUAAUGACGGUACCGUAAGAAUAAGCACCGGCUAACUACGUG